CGUAAAUUAAGAGAAGUGUACCGGGUAGAUAAACGAACAUAUAAAAAUUUUGGUCAUAAAAGAGAACCCGAACCACUGUUUACAGUUUUGUGGCAUGGAUUUCUUACAUUUUCUUUUAUUGGCAUGGGGAUUGAAUGGAAACGAAUGUAUCGAUUUUUCUUUGAUGAAGAGCCUGAAAGGAGUUCACUCACAGACUUAGAAUAGAUUUUAAUAAUUAGGUUCCAAUAUAUUGGUACUGUAGUAUGUAGUCCAAAUAUUAUAUUUAAGGAGAAGUCUUGGUUGGAGAUUGUGAUUUUAUUAUCAUUGAACCAUUAAGUAUCUGUGAUAUUAAUAUGGAUAAACUAAAAGGUUUUAUUCAGAGAACUAAAAACUUCUGAUAAUUUUUUUAAUUUGUUGUAAAGCUACAAGCCUAGAUCUUAUUUUGCAGAGAAUUUCAAAGGGCCUUUAUUAAAUAUUUUUUAAAAAUAUUUGUGGUAUGUCUAAGGCAUAAUGGGCAUUUUGUUAGGUCUUUAUGGCGCCUUGGUUUCCAUAACACCAAAAUCUUAACUUUAUUUAGACUGCUGAAGAAGCCAGAAUGUACUUAGAAUCAUUGUGAGAAAAAUUCUAUGACAAUGAUGAUGAGGAUUCAGCAGGUAUUGCCUAUUAUUGAUCUCAUGGAAAAUAAUGAAACUGUUCAACAAGAAACCAAGCAGGAGAGAAUUGCAAUGGAAAUUACACAAUCUUAAUCUUACAAAGUGGAAAAAGCACUUUGCAAUCAGAUUUACUUCAACUGGAUCCUCGCAUACAAUCCUUUGUUACCUGUUUUCUGUAGUGAUGGUGAACUGUUCCUCCAACCUAAAGGGAGGAUCCUCGACCAGUUUAACCACUGACUGG
Pieris napi is the source of this 873-nucleotide long non-coding RNA. RefSeq lists it as uncharacterized. The record is from RefSeq and is a predicted model, not a curated record. NCBI's taxonomy places the organism in Eukaryota, Metazoa, Arthropoda, Insecta, Lepidoptera, Pieridae. The transcript is spliced from 3 exons.